RNAcentral lists this small RNA (102 nucleotides) under Mytilus galloprovincialis (Mediterranean mussel). The record is from RNAcentral. Lineage: Eukaryota; Metazoa; Mollusca; Bivalvia; Mytilida; Mytilidae.
UCAAAUCCAGUGGCAGUCUAAUUUUUGGAAAGGGAGAUGGGAUUACUACAAUCCCACCCCCCUCUCCAAAAAUUAGAAUUGUCACUUGAUUUGUUAUAAGAU